UACAGAGGUGGCAAGCGUUGUUCGGAAUUACUGGGCGUAAAGGGCGCGUAGGCGGUUCGUUAAGUCCUGUGUGAAAUCCCCCGGCUCAACUGGGGAACUGCACAGGAAACUAGCGGGCUUGAGUUCGGGAGAGGGAAGCGGAAUUCCGGGUGUAGCGGUGAAAUGCGCAGAUAUCAGGAGGAACACCGAUGGCGAAGGCAGGUCUCUGGGCCACUACUGACGCUGAGAAGCGAAAGCAUGUGGAGCGAACAGG
Molecule: ribosomal RNA, 253 nt
Filed under: uncultured bacterium
Lineage: Bacteria
Description: partial 16S ribosomal RNA
Rfam family: Bacterial small subunit ribosomal RNA
Source: RNAcentral